Long non-coding RNA from Chinchilla lanigera (long-tailed chinchilla), 4252 nucleotides. RefSeq lists it as uncharacterized. The record is from RefSeq and is a predicted model, not a curated record. Lineage: Eukaryota; Metazoa; Chordata; Mammalia; Rodentia; Chinchillidae. The transcript is spliced from 4 exons.
GACUUUACCUAUCUCAGCAUAGACACAGUGUUGUAUAAUUCCAUCAUGAAUGCCUGCCACAUCCUUUGGUCUGCCUGGAACUGCCUGGAAUCGAGAGCUCUACAUUUGUCUCAGGGAAUAUGCGAGUCUGCUUCUACUAUCCUUUCAGCAGUUGAAUGAUGAUCAUGUGCCUGCCAUGUGCCAGGACCAUCUGGACUGGAAGAAGGUGUAUGGAAAAGGUGACAAUCAGGAUAUCAGAUAAUCCAACGCUGGAUGGGAGUAUAAACUGGAUGCAUGACCAAAGAACAGAGUAUCCUCGAGGACAGGAAUCCUGGCCUCAAAGCAGUCAUGGCAAAGAGCAAGUGGAAGACAAUUUCUGCCCAGCUGUCCCAUGGCCAGUGGGGGAAAGGAUACCUGUUUUUAUAAAGCCAGGUACUUCUGUGUGCUACACUCAUAGGUGGUGAAUACAUUCUGGGUGAAGUCACAUCUCAUGCAGGCCAGGUCACUGUCCUGGAGUGGCCCGCAUGAGUCAGUGCAAGGCUCAGACUCACUCAGGGUAGUAGCAGGGAAAGUACAAUCAGAGCAGAGCUUCCCAUCUUUACUGUGAGAGCAGCUGGCAUGGAAUCCUUCUCAAAUGUCAGCCCAUUCCUUACCUAAUUUCACAAGUCGAAGGACAGCAAAGCCUGGAAGAGUUUCAGGUUCCCUUUGGCCUCACCAUCUCAUACAUGGCCUGGGGCACAGAAGGGACGUGGACAGGCUCAUGCACCGGUCCUGAGGGGGUAUGGCCAAGGCCCCUCCUGCUGCAAGGAGCUUCUAGAGGGGACUGCAAGCCCCUUGGGGGCAGGGACUUUGCAUGCUGUCACGUCAGGCUGCUGUAGUGCUCCCUGACCCACCAAUACUUAUGUUUCCAAGUGAUAGAACCCAGGGUGAUGCUUCCAGACACUCUUCCCUAGAGUCUGGACCUUGGUUGCAUUUUGUACAUGGAGACAAAUUAUAAAUGUAACUCUCAGAGAGGUCUUCUACUUCUCUUUUAGAGCUUAGACCACAGCCAGACCCAAACUGGAGGUAUUUGCUAGUCAUCCCACACACCUGUGCCACACGCAUUCGGGUUUAGGCAGCAAUGCCCAGGACCCCCACCGAGACUAGUCAUAUGCUAGCUGUCAGCAGCACAGCAGCAAGCCGUGAGACAUAGAGACAGGAAGUCCACCUCAAGGGGCUCAGAGUCAUAGGACUUUCAAUUAUAUCCAACCAGCAGUCAGGGAAAGGGGAAGCGGGAGGGGGAAGGGAGAAAGAGAGAGACUGAACCGGAGCACCAGAGGGGGUGAGGGGAUGAGCAGGAGCAUGGAAAAGAGUUGGAAGCACACCAAGCCCCAGCACAGCAGUGUGGUGACAGAUCUAGACACACAGGCAGAGAUGAUGAAGAGGACCUACUCUCCAUCCACAGAGAACUCCUCCCAAGAUCUUGCCUCUAGAUAUAAGAUCCCGGAUGGGCACCUACCACCCAAAGGAAGCGGGAGGCUGCAAGAGAAGAGCUAGACCUCUCCAUGAUGCCUUCCUCAGAAAUGCCACAUCUGCCCUGAAGCCUGGAAAGAGCUUAAGAAUUCAUGGUCCAACCCUACCCAAGGACUGCUCUGAGCUCCCCUUCUCUGUGGAAUGCUCCCCAGUUCAUCUGAAUAGAAACUUCUCCCCUUCCCACUGGAAGGAGAAGGACCCCUAGUGUGGUGCUCUAUCCUGUUUGCCACUGGCUGUGUGGGCCAUGUUGACUUCAUUAGCAGAGACUGUAUGUAUCAUGUCGGGCUUUUUAGUAGUGGCUAUCUGCACCACGCUGAGAUAUGAAAGAGCACAGUAGGUAUCCCAAAGGGCUCACACCCCUUCUCCAGUAAGGCUGACAGUAAAAACCAUUCAUCCAUCCUCACUUAUUCCACUAAUAUCUAGCUCCUGCUGAUACUGUACCGAGUGUGUGCUGGCACCUCAGCCUGGGCCCAGGGCUCCUCAGGGCAGGUACUCACAGCUCUGUGCAGCAAAGAGAGCCAGAAUGCUGAUUCCUAUGCGAAGGGCAAAAAGUUGAGACUCAGAAAGCGAAGGUCUGAUGGCAGCCAGACUCAGCUCUUCCCUGGCCUCUCUUCUCUCUUGUCUUACCUGCUCCCAUGUACCCCUCUAUGUCCACAUCUGCACCCUGAUUUUGAACAUGACUCUUCUGGCCCUCUCACUGGGGCAGGGGCGGGCAGGCCAUGCUGGGCAUGUGGGAAGGCCACCUCACACACUGAACUAAGCACUUCUGCGAGCUCAGCACCUCAUGUAACUCCUGGUCCAAAGUAGAUUCUCUAAGAAGUGAUUUGAAUGAUUGAGGCUCUGGGUUUAGACCUCUCAGAUCCUAGAAGCUUUACUGUUUCAUUCAAGCUUCAGCAGAGAGGACCACUCUCCCCAACCUCCUCACUCCUUUGUCACCUUAUUGUUGGAUAAAACAUGUGCCACCAGACAAAACUGGAAUCAUCCUUGAGACAAGCUGGGACUUCCUCAGUUGUGACAGAGGCCAGAGUUAAGAGAGCAAGACCUUGAGCCAGGGCGGCCCUUUCAGUACUCAUGUCAUAAAGGACAGAACGAAUGCAAACAUGGACUUGGGGGUUAGCCUAAGACAGCAGAAAUGCACAGCAGCAAGGACCAAACUACAAGUGAAGAUAGGGGAGGUCUAAGAUGAUUUAUUUCCCUUUUAUUCUGAAGCAAGGACUCUGAGGGGGUGCAAUUUGCAGGCUAUGACAGCAGCAAGAGCACCUGUCCUGUUCCAUGCAGACUGCUGGUCACCUCUCGAGCUAGAUCCCAGCCCAGUCCAUGGUCUUCCAGGCAGCAUAAAAAGCCGUGUCUGUACCCUCAUCACCUCCAGCACAUCCUGGAGGGGGUUUCCCUUCAAAUGAGCUCAGCAACACCUCCCACCCUGGGUGGAAGGGAUAGUGUGCAGGGAAUGACAUACAGUCCUCCAGGGCUCAGAGUCCAACAGGGCCUCAGGUGAGGUGGGUGGUGGGAAGGACAGUGUGUGAAGACACAUUCAAGCUGCAUCAGGAGCACUGCGAGGGGCCACAGGACUCAGGUUUGAGAAUUUCAGAAGAUCUCACGGAGGAACUAAUGUCUGAAUGAACUGGCUUGAGGUUGAGCGGAUGUUUGCAGCUGGAGAAGAGACUGAAAAGCAGGGCACCCACCCUGGUCACAGGGCAAGGAGGUAUGCUUUGUGUAUCGGGGAGGAGCCAGCCCUUCAGACGGGUGAGGGGCAAGGGGACCUGCCACUGAGUGACAGAACAAAUCCAGCCCUGCUGCAGGGAGGGCACAAAUGCCCAAUGAUGGGUUGGCAAUGACAGGGAUUUUUUAAGCAAGAAAGUCAUGGUCCCAGCACGGUCCAAGCAGUAUUGGCGAUGGAAAGCUAUGCUUUCAAUGGAGGGCUUGCAGGGAGACGCCAGGGAGGCACCAGAGCAGGAGGCUUCAGCAAGCGUCCUGAGAAAGAAGCAGGAGUCCAAUCCAGGCACAGGAGCAGGCAAAUCCAGGAGAUGCUGGGCAGGUCAAGUGGAUGGACUCAGCGUGGUCAGAGGAGACAGUAGGACUUUGGAUGUGAGCAGCUGCCAGCAAAAAGCUGGAGCAAACGAUGGUUCCCUUCAUCCGGCUGUGGGCUCGGGAGGGGACAGAAGAUUCUUUAGUCUUCCAACAGCCAGAGGUGUGGGCAAAUUGUUACCGGUCCUAGAACCCAGGAAUUUGCUGCUCCCUUACGGUGUACAAACCUCAGUCUGUGCUUGGAGGCAGAAGGAUCCCAAACUAAAAUGAAAACUUCAUCUUCGGCACAGCCUCUCUCUCGGCUGAGUCUCCAAAAUGUUAUGCUGCCAAAGGUACCUUGUACAAGAUUAGCAGAUUUUUCCCGUUUACCAAUUUAUGUGUUUUUCUUCCAGCCAUCCAAAGGCGUGUUUCAGGAUUUUCAAGUUUCCUUCUGGCACAUUACACAAUGAGAAAGGGCAACAUGGCCCCCAGUCACCAAGGCUCCCAUGUGCCUGGGAGAAAAUGUUUACAGUACCAUUUAGCCUGGAGCAAAUCCACCAUCAGCAUUUUUAUAAAGCUCAGAGAAAAAAGAAACAAAAGCUGUUGAAAUGUGAAAAUAAUUAGAGAAGAGACAUUCCCAGGGAACAAACAUGGCCCACGCGGGAUGGAGGGAAGAACAAACAAACUUUGGGGAGGUUAUGGAGCUGUAAAAUCCUUGUUUAUUUCUGAAGAAAGAAAUAAAGUUGGAGGAAUGCCA